Molecule: RNA transcript, 466 nt
Organism: Leptopilina heterotoma
Lineage: Eukaryota; Metazoa; Arthropoda; Insecta; Hymenoptera; Figitidae
Gene name: chymotrypsin-elastase inhibitor ixodidin-like
Exons: 4
Source: RefSeq, a predicted model, not a curated record
UAAAAUUUUUUCCUGCAUUUGCCAAUUGUCAGUUGAAAUUGAGACUUCUUAGAGUAACAGGAUGUCAAAAAUGUUUAUAAUUUUAAUUUUUACUCUAAUUGCAUCGACAUCAAUAAUGGAUGCACAAACAGAAGAAAAUAUAUUUCCCGAUUGUGGACCGAAUGGAAUUUGGAAGAAUUGUGGUUCAUUCUGUCCCAGAACUUGUCAAAGACCAAUUGGGCGAAUGUUAUUUCGUUGUCCUACGCUUCAGUAAACGCUCAAUGUGGAAGAAAUGAAGUUUGGACAAAUUGUGGUAGACGUUUUGCGUGUCAAAAAAAUUGUGACGACAUAAAUAAUCCAAUUACAACUAUUUGCAGUGCCAAUUGUGAAGCUGGCUGUGUAUGUAAAUCAGGUUUCGUUAGAAGAUCGCGAAGAAGUAAAACAUGUGUUUUAGAAAUAAAUUGUCAACGAUAAAUAAUUUAAAAAU